UGCAGUCACGGUUCUAACCUGGUUCUUCUCACGGCUGGUAUCCUCUGACCUUUUAUGUCCUGGCAAUGACUUCUAUGCAUUUUGGCAGUAACUGUCUGAAUCUCUGAUUCAACCCUGAUCGCAGCCUCUCGGUCUUUCUCUCUCCUUUAAUUCUUUCCUCGGAUGGCCGCGGCUUCUGCCGCCUCUACCCUUCCUGGAGCAACCCGUGCUUUUGAAAAAUGGCCAUGCCGAAGGGGAACUAACACUCCCAGCCCGGAGCAGGUCUUGUCAAUCUGAUUUUUAAAUGAUGGAGGAGGAGAUUUGAGGACAAAGCUCAUGGUGGCAUUACCGCUAUCAGGGACGCUGCAAAGACCAAGUGAAAAGGGCGAAAGGCUCUUCUGAAUGUGAGCACAUUCACAGACUCUGAGGACAGAGAGGUAUUUAAAGUGAACUGGAACAAACCUGCAACAUCCGGUGCGUUCUGCCUUCAAAAAUAGCUGCCAGUUAGAAAGGGUUAUUUACAUAUUGAUUUCAUGCUAACUUUGUAAUGGAAUGUGCUGCCUGCCUGCCUGCCUGGGACCUAACAACUGUCAUCAUAAUUUUUUCUAAAAAUACAGUCAGAGAAAAACACUCAUUGAACCCUCCACCGGAAAGUGACUGCAAAAGACCCCCGAUCCCAAACCUGCUUGACAGACCACCGCCAAGGGCAGGGACACUCAACCACUGUAACCGAGAAACAUAUCACAGCGGCAGCUGGCCCCUCCCUUCUUCCAACCAGCCAAUAUUUUUUGUCUUUCUAGAAAACCUGUCUUGUUCAAAGGCCUGAUGGAGCUGAUUCGGUUGUGAUCCUGGGCAUAUGGAUGGCAUAUUUGCUGCGAGCUAGCCGGCCCCCGCUGUUGCGGACAAAUCUUUCAUUCAUAACAGGGGCUUGUUAGGCCAACUCCGGACUCUAAAGCCACUUAAUUAAAUUGUGGAAAGU
This is a long non-coding RNA of Chlorocebus sabaeus (green monkey), 958 nucleotides long. RefSeq lists it as uncharacterized. NCBI's taxonomy places the organism in Eukaryota, Metazoa, Chordata, Mammalia, Primates, Cercopithecidae. The record is from RefSeq and is a predicted model, not a curated record.